GUCUAUGGCCAUGCCACCCUGAACAAGCCCGAUGUCUGAUCUUGGAAGCUAGGCAGGGUUGGGUCUGGUUAGUACUUGGAUGGGAGACCACCUAGGAAGACCAGGUGCUGUAGGCA
RNAcentral lists this ribosomal RNA (116 nucleotides) under Pteropus alecto (black flying fox). The record is from RNAcentral. RNAcentral also lists the same sequence under 1 other name. Lineage: Eukaryota; Metazoa; Chordata; Mammalia; Chiroptera; Pteropodidae.